RNAcentral lists this ribosomal RNA (495 nucleotides) under uncultured bacterium. RNAcentral describes it as "bacterial SSU rRNA". It matches the Rfam family "Bacterial small subunit ribosomal RNA", at positions 29 to 518 of the family's 1533-position model. The record is from RNAcentral.
AUGAACGCUAGCGACAGGCCUAACACAUGCAAGUCGAGGGGCAGCACAAGGAGCAAUCUGAGGUGGCGACCGGCGCACGGGUGAGUAACACGUAUGCAACCUGCCUGUAAGCGGGGAAUAACCCGUUGAAAGGCGGACUAAUACCGCAUAAUACUAAAUUACUGCAUGGUAAUUUAUUUAAACAUUUAUGGCUUACAGAUGGGCAUGCGCAUGAUUAGCUAGUUGGAGAGGUAACGGCUCCCCAAGGCAACGAUCAUUAGGGGUUCUGAGAGGAAGGUCCCCCACACUGGUACUGAGACACGGACCAGACUCCUACGGGAGGCAGCAGUGAGGAAUAUUGGUCAAUGGACGAGAGUCUGAACCAGCCAAGUCGCGUGCAGGAAGAAUGCCCCUAUGGAUUGUAAACUGCUUUUGCAGGGGAAUAAAGUGCAUCACGUGUGAUGUUUUGUAUGUACUCUGCGAAUAAGGAUCGGCUAACUCCGUGCCAGCAGCGGC